CACAGCCUGGUCCUGCCACAGGCACUCAGAACUCAGGCCCCUGCCCCCUUGCUGGUGGGGGGAUAGGGGUGGAAGAGAUGAGAGUUUGGCCGUCUCAAUCCUACCAGUUGGUGGUGGACCCUGCUUCUCUACCUCAGCUUCUCCUGCUUAUGGUCAGGAGAUCUCAACACAGGAAGCACUAGCGUUCAUAUGCUGACCCAAUUGUGGCUCGUUUCCAGCCUCUGUCCUUCAUUCCCGGCUAAUGCUGCUUGCCCCCCUCCCCAGUGUCCUUGAGAUCUCAGAAAAGGGGGCUGUCAAUGUAGAUGUAUAGGUGCAGGGAGUUCCCAUCGUGGCUUAGUGGUAACAAACCCAACUAGUAUCCUUGAGGACUCGGGUUCGAUCCCUGGCCCUGCUCAGUGGGUUAAGGAUCCAUUGUGGCUAAGAGCAGUGUAGGUCACAGACACAGCUCAGACCUGGUGUGGCUGUGGCUGUGGUAUAGGCUGGUAGCUGCAGCUCCAAUUUGACCCUUAGUCUGGGAACUUCCCUAUGCCAUGGGUGCAGCCCUGAAAAAAAAAAAAAAAAAAAAAAAGAUGUAAGCAUACUUUUUUGCUGGUGCUGGGUCUGAUGCAGGGGUAAAGAUCUGGCAGAUGGUGGGACCAUGUUCGCUGGUGGGUAGUUAACUAUAAUUCAGGUGGAGAUUGGAUCUAGCCUGAAAACGAAGACCUCUGUAGGAUGAUUGGACAGUCUCAUUGUGUUCUGGAGUUCUGGAGGCCCAGAUUCAAAUUCCUCAGAGGAGUGAUUGCAGGAAAAAGAGGACUGGAUAAAGAGUGGAGAGACCUAGAUUCUCGCCCUAGUUCUGCUAACAACUCAUAGGGACCCUGGAUAAGUCACAUAACUGUUUUAAAUUGUACCCUCAUAUUUUAAAUGAGGGUUUGGAGGAAAUCACUGUUUUUCAACCAGACUACCCGUCAGAGGAAUUACCUGAACUGCUUGUGUGUGUAUAUGUAUGUGUGUGUACAGAAUUUUAGGCCUCAACUCUCAACCAUCUAUCAGAAUUUCCAAAAGCAGAUCUCAGGAAUUUGUGUUUGAAAAAGGUUCCCAAGUGAUUCUGAUGGAGCCCCAGUUCUAGAAUGUCUAAGACAUUUCCUUACUAGCCGCAGAGUUUCAUGAAAUAUGUUCAAAUCAGAGGUGGAUUGUUUUAGAAACUUGUUUUCUUUUCUUUCUUUUUUUUUCCACUUGUUCAAAACACCUUCAACUUAAUAAAAGUUAUUAGGUUCCUGGAAGUGUAAUGUCACUUGAGUCUACAUCCCUCAAUGCCUUUUCUUUUUUUCUACUGUCUACUCUUGAAAACUUAGUAGAAUUCCACAUUGGCUCAUUUUCAAAUUCUCUUUUUAUGCAUUCUGCUAAUUUUAAACCCAGUAUAUAGUCUACCCUUCUUCCUCAAUAACCAAAAGCCUGACUUCUUUUUAGGGUAUAGUAAUGUGCCAAGCUGAAAGACUCUAUUUCCCAGCUCUUUUUCACCUCGAUAUGGGCUAGUGACUUAAGCUUUAGUCAGUGAAAGGUAAACUGUUACGUGUGGGGCUUAUGGGAAGGUUCCAGGGACAAUUUGUGCAGACAAUGCAUCCCUUUUGCUUUUUCUCUGUCUUACCUAUUACUUGGAACAUGGACACAAUGGCUGAAAUCCAGUAGCUACCUUGGAUCAUGAGGUAACUGUGAUAAUGGCAGCCAUGCUCCAGGUAGGUGAAGCACGAAGAAAGGAGGAGCCUGGAUCCCUGAUGACCAUGGAGCCAUGAUACUAGCCAUGGACAGCUUACCUCCAUAUUUCUUUCUUACUGUUUAAGCCAAAGUUACUUUGGAUUUCCCAUUUUAAGCAGCCAAACCCAAAGUACUGCUACUCCUGUUGUUUGAAGGCCUCACAGUAUGUCCUCCACAUAAUCUUGAAGGUGACUUGCACAUAGUGGGUGCUCUGUUAAGUGUCUGACAAAGUUAAAUGCCCAAUGGCAUUGAGGUGGAGCGUUUAAAGGCUCCAGCUCCUCUGACCUCUGCCCUUCCUGCCUAGAUUAAAUUACUCAUAGAGGUCUUGGUUUUCCUAUCCCAGCCACCAGGAAGGUAUUUCGCAGUGUAGGGCUUUAGGGCUAUAGGCUCAAAUGUUUUGAUAAGGGAGUGGGUCUUUGAGAUUCUAACUGCAUGCAUCCAUUAUUUCAAAUGAAAAUUGAAGGGCUGGGCACUUUUCUGAAUCUACUCAAGAAACUGGAAGUGGUGGUUUGAGUGAUGUCAGAAAAGACCACCAUGGAGUCUUGUGCUAUCAUUUGGAGGCAGUACUUUCCACAGUGCCUGCCAGGAAUUUGAUGUCAGGAGAGUCUUUUGAAAGCAAAUGUUAGGGAGCCUUGAUUGCCAGCUAUUGACAAGGGGGUCUGCCUUCUCAGUGGCAGCCUCAGAGGUGGUCUUGGCCAGACCAACCUGCCCCUGACUCAUGCUGAGCUCUGUCGGCCAGGCCGACACACCCCUCUUUGGGGCCCAGUACAACAUGUUGGUUUCCUGGAAGAAUUUAGGCCAAAACUUUGCUGCUAAGAAAAUGAUACAUAUAUUUUUUUGCAAGUAUGGCCUAAUGAGAGUGUGUUUAAAAAAACUCUCUCUCCCUCAAAAGUGAAGUUCCUUUCAAAGNAA
RNAcentral lists this long non-coding RNA (2646 nucleotides) under Sus scrofa (pig). Its description in RNAcentral is "lncRNA (ENSSSCG00065024903.1)". The record is from RNAcentral. Lineage: Eukaryota; Metazoa; Chordata; Mammalia; Artiodactyla; Suidae.